This 471-nucleotide ribosomal RNA is filed under the name uncultured bacterium. Its description in RNAcentral is "bacterial SSU rRNA". It matches the Rfam family "Bacterial small subunit ribosomal RNA", at positions 8 to 495 of the family's 1533-position model. The record is from RNAcentral.
AGAGUUUGAUCCUGGCUCAGGACGAACGCUGGCGGCGUGCUUAACACAUGCUAGUCUAACGGAAAGGCCCUUCUGGGUACUCAAGUGGCUAACGGGUGAGUGACACUUGGGUGAUCUGCCCUGUACUUUGGGAUAAGCCUGGUAAACUGGGCUCCAAUACCUACUCUGAUCUCCCCCUUUAUGCUGUGUGGUGCAAAGCUUUUGCUGAGUGGGAUGGGCCCGCCGACUAACCACUUGUUAGCUGGGUAAUGGCCUAACUUCGCGACAACGGUCAGCCCGUCUGAAAUGGUGACCCGGCUCGCUGGGACUGAGAUACGGGCUUCAUUCCUACGUAACGUCACUUGGGCUAAUAUUGUAUUGUGAGAGCUUUACUAAUCCAACGACGCCAUCUGUCGCAUGACGGCCUUCCGUUUGGCUAGCUCUUUUUGUACAAACUAACCCACUGUUACCGCACCUAUAAAUCAAGCACCG